RNAcentral lists this ribosomal RNA (513 nucleotides) under uncultured bacterium. RNAcentral describes it as "partial 16S ribosomal RNA". It matches the Rfam family "Bacterial small subunit ribosomal RNA", at positions 28 to 523 of the family's 1533-position model. The record is from RNAcentral.
GACGAACGCUGGCGGCAUGCCUAAUACAUGCAAGUCGAGCGAACAGAUGAAGUGCUUGCACUUCUGACGUUAGCGGCGAACGGGUGAGUAACACGUAAGGAAUCUACCUAUAAGCGGGGGAUAACAUUCGGAAACGGGUGCUAAUACCGCAUAAUAUCUUCUUCCGCAUGGAAGAAGAUUGAAAGACGGCUCUGCUGUCACUUAUAGAUGACCUUGCGGUGCAUUAGUUAGUUGGUGGGGUACCGGCCUACCAAGACGAUGAUGCAUAGCCGGCCUGGGAGGGUGAUCGGCCACAUUGGGACAGAGACACGGCCCAAACUCCUACGGGAGGCAGCAGUGGGGAAGCUUCCGCAAUGGGCGAAAGCCUGACGGAGCAAUGCCGCGUGAGUGAAGAAGGCCUUCGGGUCGUAAAACUCUGUUAUAAGAGAAGAACAAAUUGUAGAGUAACUGCUACAGUCUUGACGGUAUCUUAUCAGAAGGCCACGGCUAACUACGUGCCAGCCGCCGCCGUAA